RNAcentral lists this ribosomal RNA (253 nucleotides) under uncultured bacterium. RNAcentral describes it as "partial 16S ribosomal RNA". It matches the Rfam family "Bacterial small subunit ribosomal RNA", at positions 524 to 776 of the family's 1533-position model. The record is from RNAcentral.
GACGUAGGGCGCGAGCGUUGUCCGGAUUUAUUGGGCGUAAAGAGCUCGUAGGCGGCUUGUCGCGUCGAAUGUGAAAACCCACAGCUCAACUGUGGGCUUGCAUUCGAUACGGGCAGGCUCGAGUUCGGUAGGGGAGACUGGAAUUCCCGGUGUAGCAGUGAAAUGCGUAGAGAUCGGGAGGAACACCGGUGGCGAAGGCGGCGACCUGGGUCGAUACUGACGCUGAGGUGCGAAAGCGUGGGGAGCAAACAGG